AAUAGAUACUCAGGUAGUCCAUGCCGUAAACGAUGUCUACUAGCCGUUGGGGCCCUUGAGGCUUUAGUGGCGCAGCUAACGCGAUAAGUAGACCGCCUGGGGAGUACGGUCGCAAGACUAAAACUCAAAUGAAUUGACGGGGGCCCGCACAAGCGGUGGAGCAUGUGGUUUAAUUCGAUGCAACGCGAAGAACCUUACCUGGCCUUGACAUACAGAGAACUUUCCAGAGAUGGAUUGGUGCCUUCGGGAACUCUGAUACAGGUGCUGCAUGGCUGUCGUCAGCUCGUGUCGUGAGAUGUUGGGUUAAGUCCCGCAACGAGCGCAACCCUUUUCCUUAUUUGCCAGCACUUCGGGUGGGAACUUUAAGGAUACUGCCAGUGACAAACUGGAGGAAGGCGGGGACGACGUCAAGUCAUCAUGGCCCUUACGGCCAGGGCUACACACGUGCUACAAUGGUCGGUACAAAGGGUUGCUACCGCGCGAGCAGAUGCUAAUCUCAAAAAGCCGAUCGUAGUCCGGAUCGC
Molecule: ribosomal RNA, 524 nt
Filed under: uncultured bacterium
Lineage: Bacteria
Description: bacterial SSU rRNA
Rfam family: Bacterial small subunit ribosomal RNA
Source: RNAcentral